Long non-coding RNA from Sycon ciliatum, 1105 nucleotides. RefSeq lists it as uncharacterized. The record is from RefSeq and is a predicted model, not a curated record. The transcript is spliced from 2 exons. NCBI's taxonomy places the organism in Eukaryota, Metazoa, Porifera, Calcarea, Leucosolenida, Sycettidae.
UUCCUUACAUUAGCUUUAUUCUUGUUCCUUUUGGCCAGGCAUUCUUCACCAUCACGCUGAUUUCUUCAGAAAAGGUUGCCAACCUUAAACCCAUGCAGGAGGAUGUGGCCGAGCAGCAAAGCAGCAAUGUGAUGGAGAGUCGGGAUUCAAUUCUUGCGUACUUUCGUAAGAAUCAUCUCGAGUUUACAACUUUGCAGCACGCGCAGUACGCUACACUGUGCAUGCUCAUCGAGCUGCAAAGCCAGUGCAAUGUAAUCGGCUACCGCUGCAAUACCUGCAUGGCUGAAAUUAUUGGAAGUCGUUUCCAUUGCCCAGUGUGUGACGAUUAUGACCUGUGUGCUAAGUGCCAUCAGGAACGCGGCCAUUAUCACCCGAUGGAGCAACAUGGUCGGCGGUGAUUAAAGCUUUGAAGCCAAUGAAGGUACCGGUUUUACUAAAAUCCUUAGCCUCGCUGUUCGUGGAGCGGAACAGCAGUCUGUACUACUCAGUGGAGAUGGGCUUGUUGAGGACAAGGUUUCUCAUUUUGUUUGCUUAGAUGGGCCGUCGCGUGUUUCAGAGGAUGCCGUGCAUCAUACAGUGACAGGCUGCGGUUGAACUCGUUUGUUGCCCAGUGUCGCCAGACUGAGUAGGCACAUGCCCAUGGCGGUAAAUUGUGUACUGGGUGUUUUCCGAUUAUUUUUUUAUUCUAGUCCAAUACAACAUAAUAUCAUCAAUGUUUUGUUGCUUUUGUAUUGAAUCAUUGACAUUGACAAACUCGUUUUGAGUUGAGUUUGAGUUGAUUUCCCUGAUCACCACCUGUUCAGAACAAUACGAAUGUUGUAUUUCUUUUGUGUCCAAUUAUUUAUUUUGAGUUGAUUUCCGCAAUCACUUUAGUUUGAUGAUAUGCAUGUUGACUUGCCCGUACAAGUGUCUUUUUAUACAUGAUGCUUAUACACUAUGAUUUUUUAUGAUGAUGAUGAUUUGGAUAAAAACGAUUCAAAGCCACUGCACUCAAUGAUUUUGUAAUACUUGAAGUAUAAAUAUAAGGAUAAUAGCUCUAACAGAGCGAAACAGUUGCUGUCCACAGACUUGAGUAAUAAUAAUAAUAUACUUUCACACAAAACAA